Molecule: ribosomal RNA, 1025 nt
Filed under: Somion litschaueri
Lineage: Eukaryota; Fungi; Basidiomycota; Agaricomycetes; Polyporales; Cerrenaceae
Description: SSU rRNA
Rfam family: Eukaryotic small subunit ribosomal RNA
Source: RNAcentral
GGGUAGUACGCCGGUAGAGUUAUGCAUUAUAUCCGAAGAUACUGCGAAUGGCUCAUUAAAUCAGUUAUCGUUUAUUUGAUAGGACCUUACUACUUGGAUAACCGUGGAAUUCUAGAGCUAAUACAUGCUGAAAACCCCGACUUCGGGAGGGGUGUAUUUAUUAGAUAAAAAACCAACGCCCUUCGGGGCUUCUUGGUGAUUCAUGAUAACUUCACGGAUCGCAUGGCCUUGCGCCGGCGACGGUUCAUUCAAAUUUCUGCCCUAUCAACUUUCGAUGGUAAGGUAUUGGCUUACCAUGGUUUCAACGGGUAACGGGGAAUUAGGGUUCGAUUCCGGAGAGGGAGCCUGAGAAACGGCUACCACAUCCAAGGAAGGCAGCAGGCGCGCAAAUUACCCAAUCCCGACACGGGGAGGUAGUGACAAUAAAUACUGAUACAGGGCUCUUUUGGGUCUUGUAAUUGGAAUGAGUACAAUUUAAACCUCUUAACGAGGAACAAUUGGAGGGCAAGUCUGGUGCCAGCAGCCGCGGUAAUUCCAGCUCCAAUAGCGUAUAUUAAAGUUGUUGCAGUUAAAAAGCUCGUAGUUGAAACUUGGGCCUGGCUGGCAGGUCCGCCUCACCGCGUGUACUUGUCCGGCCGGGCCUUUCCUUCUGGAGAACCUCAUGCCCUUCACUGGGUGUGUUGGGGAACCAGGACUUUUACUUUGAAAAAAUUAGAGUGUUCAAAGCAGGCCUUUGCUCGAAUACGUUAGCAUGGAAUAAUAGAAUAGGACGUGCGGUCCUAUUUUGUUGGUUUCUAGGACCGCCGUAAUGAUUAAUAGGGACAGUCGGGGGCAUCAGUAUUCAAUUGUCAGAGGUGAAAUUCUUGGAUUUAUUGAAGACUAACUACUGCGAAAGCAUUUGCCAAGGAUGUUUUCAUUAAUCAGUGAACGAAAGUUAGGGGAUCGAAGACGAUCAGAUACCGUCGUAGUCUUAACCGUAAACUAUGCCGACUAGGGAUCGGGCGAUGUUCUUUUUCUGACUCGCU